RNAcentral lists this ribosomal RNA (1390 nucleotides) under uncultured bacterium. RNAcentral's name for it is "16S ribosomal RNA". It matches the Rfam family "Bacterial small subunit ribosomal RNA". The record is from RNAcentral.
AGAGUUUGAUCCUGGCUCAGGAUGAACGCUGGCGGCGUGCCUAAUACAUGCAAGUCGAACGCAUAUCAGUAAUGAUAUGAGUGGCGAACGGGUGAGUAAUACAUAAGCAACCUGGCCUUUUGAGGGGGAUAACUGCUGGAAACGGCAGCUAAGACCGCAUAGGUAUAUCUAUUGCAUGAUAGAUAUAUUAAAUAUCCCACGGGAUAGCGAGAGGAUGGGCUUAUGACGCAUUAGCUAGUUGGUAAGGGUAGCGGCCUACCAAGGCGACGAUGCGUAGCCGGCCUGAGAGGGUGAACGGCCACACUGGGACUGAGACACGGCCCAGACUCCUGCGGGAGGCAGCAGUAGGGAAUUUUCGUCAAUGGGCGCAAGCCUGAACGAGCGAUGCCGCGUGAGUGAAGAAGGCCUUCGGGUCGUAAAGCUCUGUUGCGGGGGAAAAAAGGCAGCAUCAGGAAAUGGGUGCUGACUGAUGGUGCCCCGCCAGAAAGUCACGGCUAACUACGUGCCAGCAGCCGCGGUAAUACGUAGGUGGCGAGCGUUAUCCGGAAUGAUUGGGCGUAAAGGGUGCGCAGGCGGUCCUGCAAGUCUGGAGUGAAACGCAUGAGCUCAACUCAUGCAUGGCUUUGGAAACUGGAGGACUGGAGAGCAGGAGAGGGCGGUGGAACUCCAUGUGUAGCGGUAAAAUGCGUAGAUAUAUGGAAGAACACCAGUGGCGAAGGCGGCCGCCUGGCCUGUUGCUGACGCUGAGGCACGAAAGCGUGGGGAGCAAAUAGGAUUAGAUACCCUAGUAGUCCACGCCGUAAACGAUGAGGACCAAGUGUUGGGGGUGAAACCUCAGUGCUGAAGUUAACGCAGUGAGUCCUCCGCCUGGGGAGUAUGCACGCAAGUGUGAAACUCAAAGGAAUUGACGGGGGCCCGCACAAGCGGUGGAGUAUGUGGUUUAAUUCGAAGCAACGCGAAGAACCUUACCAGGCCUUGACAUGGGAUGCGAAGAUGCAGAGAUGCAUCGGAGGUCGACAUCCACACAGGUGGUGCAUGGUUGUCGUCAGCUCGUGUCGUGAGAUGUUGGGUCAAGUCCCGCAACGAGCGCAACCCUUGUGGCAUGUUGCUAACAGGAAAAGCUGAGGACUCAUGCCAGACUGCCGGUGACAAACCGGAGGAAGGCGGGGAUGACGUCAAAUCAUCAUGCCCCUUAUGGCCUGGGCUACACACGUACUACAAUGGCGGCUACAAAGAGCAGCGAGACAGGGAUGUCGAGCGAAUCUCAUAAAAGCCGUCCCAGUUCGGAUUGGAGGCUGCAACCCGCCUCCAUGAAGUUGGAAUCGCUAGUAAUCGCGGAUCAGCAUGCCGCGGUGAAUACGUUCCCGGGCCUUGCACACACCGCCCGUCA